CUACGGGACGCAGCAGUGGGGAAUUUUGCGCAAUGGGGGAAACCCUGACGCAGCAAUACCGCGUGAGUGAAGAAGGCCUUUGGGUCGUAAAGCUCUUUUCUUUGGGGAAGAUAGUGACGGUACCCAAGGAAUAAGCACCGGCUAACUCCGUGCCAGCAGCCGCGGUAAUGCGGAGGGUGCAAGCGUUGUUCGGAUUUACUGGGCGUAAAGGGCACGUAGGCGGCACAGCAAGUUAAGGGUGAAAUCCCGGGGCUCAACUCCGGAACUGCUCUUAAAACUGCUGAGCUAGAGAUAGUCAGAGGCGGGUGGAAUUCCAGGUGUAGGGGUGAAAUUCGUAGAUAUCUGGAGGAACACCGGUGGCGAAGGCGGCCCGCUGGGGCUAUUCUGACGCUAAGGUGCGAAAGCGUGGGGAGCAAACGGGAUUAGAUACCCGGGUAGUC
This 440-nucleotide ribosomal RNA is filed under the name uncultured bacterium. RNAcentral's name for it is "partial 16S ribosomal RNA". It matches the Rfam family "Bacterial small subunit ribosomal RNA", at positions 339 to 795 of the family's 1533-position model. The record is from RNAcentral.